Molecule: non-coding RNA, 34 nt
Organism: Leeuwenhoekiella marinoflava DSM 3653
Lineage: Bacteria; Pseudomonadati; Bacteroidota; Flavobacteriia; Flavobacteriales; Flavobacteriaceae
Source: Rfam
AUUAUAACCGGGGUCGGGUACCCCAAAAAUUAAU